UCCGGCUUAUCACCGGCAGUUUCCUUAAAGUGCCCAGCCAAACCUGAUGGCAACUAAGGAUGAGGGUUGCGCUCGUUGCGGGACUUAACCCAACAUCUCACGACACGAGCUGACGACAGCCAUGCAGCACCUGUGUGGACGCCACCCGAAGUGAAGAACUCCAUCUCUGAAGCUCAUACGUCCCAUGUCAAGGGUUGGUAAGGUUCUGCGCGUUGCUUCGAAUUAAACCACAUACUCCACCGCUUGUGCGGGUCCCCGUCAAUUCCUUUGAGUUUUAAUCUUGCGACCGUACUCCCCAGGCGGAUUAUUUAAUGCGUUAGCUGCGAUACCGAAGGGUAACCCCCCCGACAUCUAAUAAUCAUCGUUUACAGCGUGGACUAC
Molecule: unclassified non-coding RNA, 381 nt
Filed under: uncultured Alphaproteobacteria bacterium
Lineage: Bacteria; Pseudomonadati; Pseudomonadota; Alphaproteobacteria
Description: contains 16S-23S intergenic spacer region
Source: RNAcentral